RNAcentral lists this ribosomal RNA (881 nucleotides) under Epicoccum mezzettii. RNAcentral describes it as "partial large subunit ribosomal RNA". The record is from RNAcentral. Lineage: Eukaryota; Fungi; Ascomycota; Dothideomycetes; Pleosporales; Didymellaceae.
ACAGGGAUUGCCCUAGUAACGGCGAGUGAAGCGGCAACAGCUCAAAUUUGAAAUCUGGCGUCUUUGGCGUCCGAGUUGUAAUUUGCAGAGGGCGCUUUGGCAUUGGCAGCGGUCCAAGUUCCUUGGAACAGGACGUCACAGAGGGUGAGAAUCCCGUACGUGGUCGCUAGCCUUUACCGUGUAAAGCCCCUUCGACGAGUCGAGUUGUUUGGGAAUGCAGCUCUAAAUGGGAGGUAAAUUUCUUCUAAAGCUAAAUACUGGCCAGAGACCGAUAGCGCACAAGUAGAGUGAUCGAAAGAUGAAAAGCACUUUGGAAAGAGAGUUAAAAAGCACGUGAAAUUGUUGAAAGGGAAGCGCUUGCAGCCAGACUUGCCUGUAGUUGCUCAUCCGGGUUUUUACCCGGUGCACUCUUCUACGGGCAGGCCAGCAUCAGUUUGGGCGGUUGGAUAAAGGUCUCUGUCAUGUACCUCCUCUCGGGGAGAUCUUAUAGGGGAGACGACAUGCAACCAGCCUGGACUGAGGUCCGCGCAUCUGCUAGGAUGCUGGCGUAAUGGCUGUAAGCGGCCCGUCUUGAAACACGGACCAAGGAGUCUAACAUCUAUGCGAGUGUUUGGGUGUCAAGCCCGAACGCGUAAUGAAAGUGAACGGAGGUGGGAACCUUUCGGGGUGCACCAUCGACCGAUCCUGAUGUCUUCGGAUGGAUUUGAGUAAGAGCAUAGCUGUUGGGACCCGAAAGAUGGUGAACUAUGCUUGAAUAGGGUGAAGCCAGAGGAAACUCUGGUGGAGGCUCRCAGCGGUUCUGACGUGCAAAUCGAUCGUCAAAUUUGGGCAUAGGGGCGAAAGACUAAUCGAACUAUCUAGUAGCUGGUUCCUGCCGAAGU